AUACGUAGGUGGCAAGCGUUGUCCGGAUUUACUGGGCGUAAAGGGCGUGCAGGCGGUUCGUUAAGUCUAGGGUGAAAGCUCCCGGCUCAACUGGGAGAGGUCCUUGGAUACUGGCGGACUUGAGGGGGGUAGAGGAGAGUGGAAUUCUCGGUGUAGUGGGGAUAUGCGUAGAUAUCGAGAGGAACACCAGUGGCGAAGGCGGCUCUCUGGGCCCUAACUGACGCUGGGACGCGAAAGCGUGGGGAGCGAACCGGAUUAGAAACCCCGGUAGUCC
Molecule: ribosomal RNA, 274 nt
Filed under: uncultured bacterium
Lineage: Bacteria
Description: partial 16S ribosomal RNA
Rfam family: Bacterial small subunit ribosomal RNA
Source: RNAcentral